CUACGGGGGGCUCCAGUGAGGAAUAUUGCACAAUGGGGGAAACCCUGAUGCAGCAACGCCGCGUGGAGGAUGACGCAUUUCGGUGUGUAAACUCCUUUUAUGAGUCAAGAAAAUGACGGUAGCUCAUGAAUAAGCACCGGCUAACUCCGUGCCAGCAGCCGCGGUAAUACGGAGGGUGCAAGCGUUACUCGGAAUCACUGGGCGUAAAGGACGCGUAGGCGGGCUUGUAAGUCAGGUGUGAAAUCCUACAGCUUAACUGUAGAACUGCACUUGAAACUACGAGCCUAGAGUAUGGGAGGGGGAGAUGGAAUUAGUGGUGUGGGGGUAAAAUCCGUAGAUAUCACUAGGAAUACCGAAAGCGAAGGCGAUCUCCUGGAACAUUACUGACGCUAAGGCGUGAAAGCGUGGGGAGCAAACAGGAUUAGAUACCCCCGUAGUC
This 439-nucleotide ribosomal RNA is filed under the name uncultured bacterium. Its description in RNAcentral is "partial 16S ribosomal RNA". It matches the Rfam family "Bacterial small subunit ribosomal RNA", at positions 339 to 795 of the family's 1533-position model. The record is from RNAcentral.